GCCGGGCACAUUGGCGAUCGCCUGUAAUCCCAGUGGCUAGGGAGGCUGAGGCAGGAGGAUCAUGAGUUCAAAGCCAGCCUCAGCAAGGGCAAGGUGCUAAGCAACUCAGUGAGACCCUGUUUCUA
RNAcentral lists this small RNA (125 nucleotides) under Marmota monax (woodchuck). Lineage: Eukaryota; Metazoa; Chordata; Mammalia; Rodentia; Sciuridae. The record is from RNAcentral.